RNAcentral lists this long non-coding RNA (3168 nucleotides) under Fukomys damarensis (Damara mole-rat). Its description in RNAcentral is "lncRNA (ENSFDAG00000027080.1)". The record is from RNAcentral. Lineage: Eukaryota; Metazoa; Chordata; Mammalia; Rodentia; Bathyergidae.
AUGCCCUUGUUUCCCUUCUCGUCGGCACAGCCCUGGCCCGGUCUCUGGAUUUCCCUGGGCUUCGGGCUCCAGCGAUCUGACCCCAGCUGGCUCCCCCUGCAGAGCCAGGGCGCAGGUUCCGGACUCACCACCCGGCGGCCCGCGCCAUUCCUGGAGUCUGGAAACUUCAUCACUGUGUGGACGGAAGUCAGACUAAGCCACAGCUUCCCCUGUGAAAACCCCCAGGUCGUAGAAGUCGCCCGCACCCCUUGGCUGCAUCCCGAACCGCCGGCGUCGCUCAGACCUCUGCUUUUCUCCUUUCCUGACUCUCCCUGCUGCUGUCUUCUCAGGGGGACGCUGACUGCGCCCCGGGACCUGCUGGCUCGCAGAUCUCGGAUAAGCUUUCCCUGAGGAGCCUUGACCGAGCUCCUCCGUGGGGGCACCGCUGGGAGCCACAGCUCUGCUCAGCUGGCCCCCCUCCCUUUCUGCUGUCGCUUUCCCUACUUCCCGGUAGCGUUUUCGGGAUGAGAUUGUCUGCCCAACGACUUCGUGCACUUGCGUCCUUGCCUCGGGAUCUGCUUCCAGCAAAGCUCACUCUAGGACCCUGAGGACAGGGGCGCAGGCAAGCGGCCUGGCUGGCUGGAGACGGGUGCACGCAGGAAACCCUCCUGGGGCUGCUCUCAGCCGAAUUGUUGCUUGCUGUCCUGAGGGAGACAGCUUUACCCAGGGUGUCAGCCACAAGAGCCUCCUCCAGGGUCUGACUGAAACAGAGAGAUUUGCCUCAGGCCCUGGCAAAUCUCAGGCUGCAGCAGCCCGCCGGGUUCCCUGUACCACAUACAGAUUCAUGAAUCAGAUGGGAAUGGCUGAAUUUGUGUCAUUCUUGUUUUGUGUUGGUUUUUUUUUUUUCAAAAACAAAAAACAGCUGCCAUCCCUUAAUUGCCUGGCACUAUUCAAGAAGAAAUGAGUGGAAUAUUUCUAUCCAGCUCUUCUUUCUUACCAUUCUUAUUCUUCAGGGCUGAUAGGGUUCUCAUUUUACUCCUGCCUCACUUGUUUGAGAAAGAAAACAGCUUUUACUGGUCUUUCCACCUCUGAGACCUGUGCCAUUAGCAAAAUUCUUUGCUUUGUGAGGUUUAGUUUCUACUCGAACCUUUCCAUCUCUGGAGAAAAAACUCAUGGAAGGGGCCAGGGAUUUAGCUCAGUGGUUCUGGUGUCUGCUUUGCAAGUGCAAGGACCCAAGUUCGAUCCCCAGUGCCAGAAAAAACAAAAAAAAAGGAAAGAAAGAAAGAGAAAACUCAUAGAAAAAAGUUCUGUCAGCAUCAGCAUUCAGAACUCGAGAAUCAGGAGGUUGUGUUCAGAUCACGGCAGGACUGCCUGGAAGGCAUGUUUGGUAUUGGGUGCCGGUGGUUCACACCCUGCUUUUAUUCCUGAGUCACAGUGUCAAGCCUCGGGAGAUCUGCUUACUUUCUCACCAUCAGCUCCCUGAUCCAUGAAACAGAGAUGAAUUACAGAGCUGGCUGGACGCCUGUUGGAAAGCCCUCAGGUGGUCCACACCCAGACCAUCUUGGGGUUCAUCCAUCUCUACAGCCGAGCCCUCUCAGGAGCCUAAAUGUGAAGGGUUAAGAAACGGAUGCCAACUGGGGCUGCAUGUCUAUAAUCCCAGCACUCGCGAGGCUGAGGUAGGAGGGUGAUUGUGAGCUUGAGGCCAGCCUUAGCUACAUAAUGAGUUUAAGGCCAACCUGAGCUACAUAGCUAGAUGCUGUAAAAAAAUCUGAAAAAAAAAAAAAAAAGAAAAAGAAAAAAAAAAGAAAAAAGAAAAAAAAGAGGGGGGUGUGAUUUGAAAAAAGAGAGGGUUCCUAAAGGUGACUCCACCAUGAGGGACCCCGACCUGGUGGGGAUGGGAUUGUGAAUCUCAGGCGCCCUGAGUCCCUGGCUUCCACUCUGGGGCGUGGAGAGCUCCAUCCCUUCCAGUGCUGGGCUUGGGAAUCCUUCAUUCCUUCUCAGAGGCCGCGGCCCCACAACUGUACACACUGUACAAAAGCGAAUGUGCGGUCAGGUCGGGCACUGAAGCUCAUCCUGGCAGCGGAGAGGUCCUGUAGUCCCAACAGUUAGCCACAGAAACGAGCCAGGCUGGGUACAGCUCAGCAGUACAGCGUUCACCCAGUGUGUGAGACCCUGGGUUAAAUCCAGCACCACAAAAACAAGCACCAAACAGACCGAAAAACAAGAGAGGAGAGCUCUACCAAGCUGUUCAGGGUCAGCCUAAAACCGAACACCUGGGUAAUGUGAGCAGCACGAACAAAGACAACAUGGCAGAGGGGAGGCUGCAACUCCGCGGGGACUCCAGGAACAGGCUGGGAGCAGGCUCAGAGAUGCAGCUAGUGUGUGUCCCAGGCCCCCAACUCCCCAGGGACCCCGGGGCUCCUUGCUGACCUUUGUUUGCUAAAAGCUGAUUCAUAAAGAACACAUUUCUGGAUUUUCUCUGGAGGGAAGUUUUAUUUAAUGGCUAGCAGACAUGAAGUGCAAUCUAUACAACAUGAACUCAGUGAGGACCUGGCAUCUAAAGGAGAGAAGGGUCAGAGCCCCCGGGGGAACUCACAUUCACCUUGUUGGGGUGUGCCACUUAGUUGCUGGUUUUGUUUUGUUUUGUUUUGUUUUUGAGACUGGGUCUUGCUAUGUAAUUCAGACUGGCUUUCAGUACCCUAUGGAGCCCAGGCUGGUCUUGAGAUCACAGCGAUCCUCCGGUCCUUGCAAAUGCGGGGAUUGCAAGAGUGCACCAUCACUCCUGGCUGUCAUCACCCACUUGAGACAGUAAAGCUUGUGGGUGCGGGGCAAUAUGUUUUGUAUUUUUGUUGGGGUGCUGGGAUCAAACUCUGGGCUAUGUACUCACUAGGCGAGCGCUCUGCCUUUGAGCCCCGGCCCUGCCCCUAUGAUAAUGGAGCUGGGAGCCCCCCAGGAGACUUGAUAAGCACACUUCUGGGUGUGUCUGGGUGGGACCAGGAUGGGUGACUUUAGAAUCUCUGUCAAGUCCCUGACCCUUUGUUCCCCUGCUCUGCUUCUUGGCAGACAGGAAGUGAGCAGCUGUGCUGUACUACAUCUUCCACCAUGAUGUUUCUGUCUUGGAGCCAGCUGACCAUGGACUGAACCCUCUGAAACCAUAAGCCAAAUAAAAUUUCUUCUCCUGUAAAUUGU